This 586-nucleotide long non-coding RNA is filed under the name Mytilus galloprovincialis (Mediterranean mussel). Lineage: Eukaryota; Metazoa; Mollusca; Bivalvia; Mytilida; Mytilidae. The record is from RNAcentral.
GCAAAUAAUUUUGCGAAACGAAACCUGUGUUUAAAACCAAUUACACAAUAAGUUCGUUUCCCGUAUUUGUCACCAGUCCGCGUAGAUGCAUCAUCUCAUAGAAAUAGAGUUGUCCAAAUGUGGACAGGUGGAAGACGUCAAGUUAAAGUAUUGAAUAUUAAAUAAUCAUUUGGAAUUUUCUUGUUUCAUAGAUAAUAAAAAAAUAUCGUUCAUUUGGAUAAAAAAUGGGAAUGCAUGACAACAGAUUAACCCGAUAUUCUCGUUUUUCCAGUUGACGAGUCUAUUACGUUUUUUGACACGUGUGUUGAAACUUAUUUUCGUACGACGUUUUUACAUUUUUUUUCUUUAUCAGUUUUCGAGCUUGAAGAUCAUUAUUCACCAAGUUUUCUGGAAUUGAUUAAGAGCUACGCGAAUCUGUUUUUAAUGUUUGUGAAAUGACGAUUUAAUUUUGUCUUUGUCCGUCCGUCAUCGAACAUAUUUUUCUGUCUUGAAAAAUAUUUAUUUUCUUUUUUUUUUACCGACCGACCGACCCGACUUUUUCAUGGAUAAAAUCCGUAAACCAACAAAUUAAAAAACCCUGGCCUUA